ACCCAGGUGGCUCAGUGGUAAAGAAUUUGCCUGCCAAUGCAAGAGAUGAGGGAGACGCAGGUUCUCUCCCUGGGUA
This 76-nucleotide transfer RNA is filed under the name Ovis aries (sheep). It matches the Rfam family "tRNA". Rfam says of the family: Transfer RNA (tRNA) molecules are approximately 80 nucleotides in length. Their secondary structure includes four short double-helical elements and three loops (D, anti-codon, and T loops). Further hydrogen bonds mediate the characteristic L-shaped molecular structure. tRNAs have two regions of fundamental functional importance: the anti-codon, which is responsible for specific mRNA codon recognition, and the 3' end, to which the tRNAs corresponding amino acid is attached (by aminoacyl-tRNA synthetases). tRNAs cope with the degeneracy of the genetic code in two manners: having more than one tRNA (with a specific anti-codon) for a particular amino acid; and 'wobble' base-pairing, i.e. permitting non-standard base-pairing at the 3rd anti-codon position. The record is from Rfam by way of RNAcentral. Lineage: Eukaryota; Metazoa; Chordata; Mammalia; Artiodactyla; Bovidae.